Non-coding RNA from Protomyces lactucae-debilis, 105 nucleotides. The record is from the annotation of a RefSeq genome assembly. NCBI's taxonomy places the organism in Eukaryota, Fungi, Ascomycota, Taphrinomycetes, Taphrinales, Protomycetaceae.
GCAGUGGUCGCAUAGUGGCAAUUGCGCGGCUUUCAAGCGCAAGCUUGCUUAAGAGGCAGACCAGCCGUCCUUACUGGUUCCAGGGUUCGAGUCCCUGUCACUGCA